RNAcentral lists this ribosomal RNA (266 nucleotides) under uncultured bacterium. RNAcentral's name for it is "partial 16S ribosomal RNA". It matches the Rfam family "Bacterial small subunit ribosomal RNA", at positions 1225 to 1500 of the family's 1533-position model. The record is from RNAcentral.
GUUCAAUGGCAGGUACAGCGGGAAGCCACCCGGCGACGGGCGCGGAACCCGAAAACCUGUCUCAGUUCGGAUUGGAGUCUGCAACCCGACUCCAUGAAGCUGGAUUCGCUAGUAAUCGCGCAUCAGCCACGGCGCGGUGAAUACGUUCCCGGGCCUUGUACACACCGCCCGUCAAGCCAUGGAAGCCGGGGGUGCCUGAAGUGCGUGACCGCAAGGAGCGCCCUAGGGUAAAACCGGUGACUGGGGCUAAGUCGUAACAAGGUAAC